UCUACGGGAGGCAGCAGUGGGGGAUAUUGCACAAUGGGGGAAACCCUGAUGCAGCGACGCCGCGUGGGUGAAGAAGUAUUUCGGUAUGUAAAGCCCUAUCAGCAGGGAAGAAAGAAGACGGUACCUGACUAAGAAGCCCCGGCUAACUACGUGCCAGCAGCCGCGGUAAUACGUAGGGGGCGAGCGUUAUCCGGAUUCACUGGGUGGAAAGGGAGCGUAGACGGCCGUGCAAGCCAGGAGUGAAAGCCCGGGGCCCACCCCCGGGACUGCUCUUGGAACUGUGCGGCUGGAGUGCGGGAGGGGCAGGCGGAAUUCCUGGUGUAGCGGUGAAAUGCGUAGAGAUCAGGAGGAACACCGGCGGCGAAGGCGGCCUGCUGGACCGCGACUGACGUUGAGGCUCGAAAGCGUGGGGAGCGAACAGGAUUAGAUACCCCAGUAGUC
This 441-nucleotide ribosomal RNA is filed under the name uncultured bacterium. RNAcentral's name for it is "partial 16S ribosomal RNA". It matches the Rfam family "Bacterial small subunit ribosomal RNA", at positions 338 to 795 of the family's 1533-position model. The record is from RNAcentral.